Molecule: long non-coding RNA, 1876 nt
Organism: Polyodon spathula (Mississippi paddlefish)
Lineage: Eukaryota; Metazoa; Chordata; Actinopteri; Acipenseriformes; Polyodontidae
Exons: 6
Source: RefSeq, a predicted model, not a curated record
AAGACCUACUUCUAUAUAAGGAAGGAUAGGAAAGUUAUGUCACAAAUGGACGGCGUUAGUAGAGAGUGGAGCCGUUUCUGGAGCCCAUAGAGCUGAAAGUCCGCCGGAUACUUUGAAGUUGGAUAAGUAAGGGCGCUCUUAAAUUUACAAAAAGUUAUUCAAUGCCUUUCAGCACUAAGGCCUGGCCCAGAGCAAAACUUUGACGGACCCGCUAAUCGUAAAUUACAAACCUGGUUCUGAUGUCAAAAGGUUAUUCCGUCUACCCCAGAGGGAAUCCGCCAUUAAUACUGGAUGUGUAGUGAUAGACAAGGACAUUAAGGAAAUUAAUGCUGUGAGAGAUGUUUUCCCACAUGCUGUCAUCCUGCUCUGUUUGUUUCAUGUAUUGCAGCUGUCCAUAGAUUGUUGGUCCGGAAGGAUGGAAGGAACUUGAAUGUUUCAGAGAAGAAUUAAGUCAUUAGGUCCAUGAUAAGCUGAAGCAAUGUACUACACUUCAUUUUCAGCUUGUACAAGUACAGUGUUGAAGUAUUACUUUGAUGUCAAGAUGUGAAAUGCCUUAUUCAGCAGGAAGAGUUUUCCCCCGAAGCAGAAAAUAUGCUUAAGCAUCUCUGAUGUGACAAGAAAAAACAUGUCAGCGACUACCUGAAUGAAAAUUGGCUUCCUAUUGCAAUACAUAGAUCAAUUGCAAAAAGUUGGAAGAAUUCAAGAAGGAACCAACCCAGCAGCUGUCGGUGAUUCCUCUGCUAAAAAAAAUGAUCGACAAAGGACAGUAGUAUAGCGCUAUACGGGGCAUCACCAUGUUAAUUUUUAACCGAUGUGUAUGUAAUAUUUGGUUAUGACAGGUGGCGUCAACCAAUUAGGAACGACUGGAAGUCCCACCUCACUGUUCCUGUCCUGUGUUUGUAGUCUUUAAGCAAAUCCGGAAGUCCCACCCGCAUGUCCGGUCAUAUUUAGGUAGUUUUAAUACAGAUAUGGAAAUACCCCUCCUCCUCCCUCCCGGUCAUGUGUAUGUAGUUUUUAUUGCACUUUUGGAAACUGUUCUAUGUUUGUAGUUUCUCAUUAAAAUGGGAAUUAAACAAUUGUUUUGGUUAUUUUUAAUUGAUUUGUAUUUGAAAAGGGGUAAGAUGUUACACUGAAAAUAAGUUAAUAAGUUUGAAAAACAGGAGUAUACAGUUAAUUAUGUACAUAUAAAAUAAAUGGAUCGGUAUAAAUGGGUAACAACAAAAUAAAACACGCUUUUAAGAAAAAAAAAUAAGUUUGAAAAAACAAGCGGGUAUACAACAGAUAGAAAAAUCCUGACUGAAAACAAAGUAAAAUAGGAUACAGAGUUAGUUAUAAGCCAAAUAAAUUAAAUGAUUGUUAUAAAUGGUUGAAAACAAAAUAAAACACUAUUUUAACAAAAAAUAAAAAACAGGGUUAUACAGUUAGUUAUAUUAAAGAAAAUAAAUGGAUUGGAAUAAAUGGUUGAAAACAAAAAGCUAUAUAAUGCGGAAAAAUAAAGCAAGUUUGAACAGGUGAAAUGCUAAAGCAGAGAGGGGUGCCUGUUGAAAAAAGCCAUCGAAACAAAAUAAUACAAACCACGGUUAUUUGCAGCUGUUGAGGCGAUAUUAGACUCGUAAAGAAAGUUGCUUAAAGAAAAAGAAAACAUUUUUAAAACAUCACAAACCUUAAACACCUCUCUGCGUUUGAAGGCGUCUGAGGCAAAUAACUAUGUACGAACAACGUAAACUAACCCUUGCACUGCUGUAUGGGUGGGGGUGGGGGUUUGUCGGCCGGCGCUCCUGUUUAGAAGAUAUUCCUCGCCAAUGGGUGUAUUUUUCUGUUGUGUUGCGUGUGGUAUGUUAAAUGUUAGUGUAUAGGCAUUGGUGCAUGGGAUAUA